This 468-nucleotide ribosomal RNA is filed under the name uncultured bacterium. Its description in RNAcentral is "partial 16S ribosomal RNA". It matches the Rfam family "Bacterial small subunit ribosomal RNA", at positions 28 to 507 of the family's 1533-position model. The record is from RNAcentral.
GAUGAACGCUGGCGGCGUGCUUAACACAUGCAAGUCGAACGGUAAGGCCCUGCUUUUCUGGGGUGCUCGAGUGGCGAACGGGUGAGUAACACGUGAGUAACCUGCCCUUGACUUUGGGAUAACUUCCGGAAACUGGGGAUAAUAACGGAUAGGAGCUCCUGCUGCCAGGUGGGGGUUGUAAAGUUUCGGCGGUUGGGGAUGGACUCGCGGCUUAUCAGCUUGUUGGUGGGGUAGUGGCUUACCAAGGCUUUGACGGGUAGCCGGCCUGAGAGGGUGACCGGCCACAUUGGGACUGAGAUACGGCCCAGACUCCUACGGGAGGCAGCAGAGGGGAAGAUUGCACAAUGGGCGGAAGCCUGAUGCAGCAACGCCGCGUGCGGGAUGACGGCCUUCGGGUUGUAAACCGCUUUCGCCUGUGACGAAGCGUGAGUGACGGUAAUGGGUAAAGAAGCACCGGCUAACUACGUG